Long non-coding RNA from Coregonus clupeaformis (lake whitefish), 475 nucleotides. RefSeq lists it as uncharacterized. NCBI's taxonomy places the organism in Eukaryota, Metazoa, Chordata, Actinopteri, Salmoniformes, Salmonidae. The record is from RefSeq and is a predicted model, not a curated record. The transcript is spliced from 2 exons.
GUAAGUAGGAAAACCUGCAAAAUCGGCAGUGUAUCAAAUACUUGUUCUCUCCACUGUAUAUACUGCUUCUUCAGGGGUUGACCAAACAAAUGGCCGACUCGCCCUUCUCUACGUGUUCUGUGGGAGGUGAUGCGGCCUUGAGUUGGAGGGGGCCCGUGCUGGUGCUGGCAGGCCUGUGCAGUGUCUUUACCUGCUGCUUCAUUAUCUUCUUCCACAGGGAGUACAGGAGACUGGACGCUGAGGCACAGGCUGGUGCAAAUAAAGCUAACUCUGACAUCCUGUGACAGCACACCAAACUCUAACCAAAAGGAGGAACAAGCCAGGGGUUAACUGAACUGCUGUUGAGAUCACUACCUCACUGGCAUCGUUUCAGAAGCACGCCAAAUCUCACAGGAGGCAAAGUGUGUUGACUUACAAAUACAUUACUUUAUAUUUGAUGUUCUUUAUAAAGAUUAUGUAGGUUUUUGGAAUGUAA